Molecule: ribosomal RNA, 879 nt
Filed under: uncultured bacterium
Lineage: Bacteria
Description: bacterial SSU rRNA
Rfam family: Bacterial small subunit ribosomal RNA
Source: RNAcentral
GGCUCAGGACGAACGCUGGCGGCGCGCCUAACACAUGCAAGUCGAACGGAGUCAAGAGGAGCUUGCUUUUCUUGACUUAGUGGCGAACGGGUGAGUAACGCGUGAGUAACCUGCCCUGGAGUGGGGGACAACAGUUGGAAACGACUGCUAAUACCGCAUAAGCCCACGGAUCCGCAUGGAUCUGCGGGAAAAGGAUUUAUUCGCUUCAGGAUGGACUCGCGUCCAAUUAGCUAGUUGGUGAGGUAACGGCCCACCAAGGCGACGAUUGGUAGCCGGACUGAGAGGUUGAACGGCCACAUUGGGACUGAGACACGGCCCAGACUCCUACGGGAGGCAGCAGGGGGGGAUAUUGCACAAUGGGGGAAACCCUGAUGCAGCGACGCCGCGUGGAGGAAGAAGGUUUUCGGAUUGUAAACUCCUGUCGUUAGGGACGAUAAUGACGGUACCUAACAAGAAAGCACCGGCUAACUACGUGCCAGCAGCCGCGGUAAAACGUAGGGUGCAAGCGUUGUCCGGAAUUACUGGGUGUAAAGGGAGCGCAGGCGGACCGGCAAGUUGGAAGUGAAAACUAUGGGCUCAACCCAUAAAUUGCUUUCAAAACUGCUGGCCUUGAGUAGUGCAGAGGUAGGUGGAAUUCCCGGUGUAGCGGUGGAAUGCGUAGAUAUCGGGAGGAACACCAGUGGCGAAGGCGACCUACUGGGCACCAACUGACGCUGAGGCUCGAAAGCAUGGGUAGCAAACAGGAUUAGAUACCCUGGUAGUCCAUGCCGUAAACGAUGAUUACUAGGUGUUGGAGGAUUGACCCCUUCAGUGCCGCAGUUAACACAAUAAGUAAUCCACCUGGGGAGUACGACCGCAAGGUUGAAACUCAAAUGAAUU